RNAcentral lists this long non-coding RNA (210 nucleotides) under Mytilus galloprovincialis (Mediterranean mussel). Lineage: Eukaryota; Metazoa; Mollusca; Bivalvia; Mytilida; Mytilidae. The record is from RNAcentral.
CAGGACAGCAACAUCGAAAUGAGUAAAAAGUUAACAAAGGCCUGUCAUUUUGGGAUGUCAACACUUAAUUAAUGCACACCCGUUGGGACGAAAUAAAAUUAGAUCAUUCAAACCCCGUUACAUAUUUUUUUAACUCAAUUCCGUAUUUCAAAACAAAUCAUUUCUUGAAAUUUACAAUCCAACGAUUCAUUAAAUAAAACCCAGUGGCCA